CCUACGGGGGGCAGCAGUGGGGAAUAUUGCACAAUGGGGGAAACCCUGAUGCAGCAACGCCGCGUGCGUGAUGACGGCCUUCGGGUUGUAACGCUCUGUCUUCAGGGACGAUAAUGACGGUACCUGAGGAGGAAGCCACGGCUAACUACGGUCCAGCAGCCGCGGUAAUACGUAGGUGGCGAGCGUUUUCCGGAUUUACGGGGCGUAAAGGGAGAGUAGGCGGACUUUUAAGUGGGAUGUGAAUUACUCGGGCUCAACUUGAGUGCUGCAUUGCAAACUGGAAGUCUAGAGUGCAGGAGAGGAGAAUGGAAUUCCUAGGGUAGCGGUGAAAUGCGUAGAGAUCGGGAGGAACACCAGUGGCGAAGGCGGCCUGCUGGGCUUUAACUGACGCUGAAGCACGAAAGCGUGGGUAGCAAACAGGAUUAGAUACCCGAGUAGUC
RNAcentral lists this ribosomal RNA (440 nucleotides) under uncultured bacterium. RNAcentral describes it as "partial 16S ribosomal RNA". It matches the Rfam family "Bacterial small subunit ribosomal RNA", at positions 338 to 795 of the family's 1533-position model. The record is from RNAcentral.